GUCUUUUUGAUUAUAAUUUAAAGUCUGACCUGCCCUAUGAAUUAAUUUUUGAAUGGCCGCGGUACUUUGACCGUGCAAAGGUAGCAUAAUAAUUAGUUUAUUAAUUGUGAACUGGUAUGAAUGGUUGGACGAGAAAAAAACUGUCUCAAUUUAAUUUAAAUUAGAAUUUUAUUUUUAAGUAAGAAAGCUUAAAUAUUUUUAAAAGACGAGAAGACCCUAUAGAGUUUUAUAUUUUUUUUUAUUUUUAAAUUUUGAGGGAUUAUAGAUUUAUUAAUAUAGGAAAGUAUUUGAUUGGGGCGAUUGAAAAAUUUAAAGAACUUUUUUUAAAGAUAAAACAUUUAUUUAUGAAUAUUUGAUCCAUAUAUUUAUGAUUAGAAGAUUAAAUUACCUUAGGGAUAACAGCGUUAUUUUUUUUGAGAGUUCUUAUCGAAAAAGAAGUUUGCGA
Molecule: ribosomal RNA, 445 nt
Filed under: Demarziella imitatrix
Lineage: Eukaryota; Metazoa; Arthropoda; Insecta; Coleoptera; Scarabaeidae
Description: partial 16S ribosomal RNA
Source: RNAcentral